GUAAAUUUUAAGUUUGUCUUCAGCCUGAGAGAGUGCCUGUUGUGACUCCAUACCACGAUGAUUCACAUGGCGGGGUUACCGAUAGUGUACGUGUAAGUAUACGGACUGACAUUACAUCAGUUAACUACGUGUAACUGCAUCCGGUUCACCCGGUUUUGGGUGAGGCAAAACGAAGAAGGAAUGCUCAGUUGACCAGACCCUCCCGGAGGCACGGAGGGUGUGGUCUGGCUACGUGAGACUAUCAAUGCUCUAUCAGUUUCCAUAGCAAUUAAUUACACUUUUAUUAUCGAGAAUAUUAGCAGCUGUAAAAUUACUUAAAGUAUAACAAAUAGUGAUGGGGGACCAUGUGGCAUAAAAUGGGUAAGCAAAUCUAUUUGGAGUGGCUUAAAUAUAAUACAUGUUUGUAGUAGGGCAUGGUCCACACAAGCUGCCAUCCAUGGGCAUAGAUAAUAGAGUAAAUCUAUGACAUGAAGAGGGCGUUUAAGCCCCACCCUUUAACAUAUAGAAUGCUUUACUCAGCAUAAAACCAACAAUUUAUUCUAUUACCAAGCGCUAGCGCUUGGUAUGUAGGGUUGAGUUGGACGAGCGCACCCCCAAAAUGGCUGCCUUCCCAGAAGCAUUGAGCCAGUGUAAAUCUUCAGGAAUUCUUUAUGACUUAUCUGACAGUCAGGAUGUCCUUUAUAAUUUUAUUAGAACAGGUUAGUGUUAUAAAAAGUAGUUAAAAACUUCCAUAAGAUAGUUAUACGGCAAAUGAAUGCAUGCAUGCCUGCAUGCACCAAAUGUUCAGCUUUCUCCUUCUUCUUCCACAGUUAAGGAAGAACUAGUCCUACAGUUUUUAUCCUAGAAAUAUGAUUUUUGCACCAUUGUAUUGCACUUCAGGGACGCUAGUGCAGUGUGGCUUGGCAUUGUAAUUCUACAAAAUGAUUUUUGUCGUCAUUUUCAAGCACAUAAUUGACUCACCAAGUGGUUGGACGCCAUUUUGAUGCAUCCAACUGCGCAUGCUCAGUAUUAUUCAAUGGGGACUCCUUUGUUCUUUACUGACUGAUCUAUACCGGAUGAGAUGAGAUUGAGAUGAUGUACUUGCCUAAACACCCUAUCUACAAGAUUCUCUUGAAAGUUUGUAUUUAUGCUUCAAUUUGCCUUCAUUACUUAAUCUCUUCAAGUAAGUCUCACCACGCCCCUUUGCUACCUGCAGAGCCGGAGGAAGGGUCUGGAGACCGUGCACUUCCAUCUAAAAUGUGUGCAAAGAAGAACACGUGGUUGAGCUACAUCAUGUGACAGAGGAGACCAGAUCGGUCAAAAUAGCUGAAACAGAUGCUUUGCAGCUAAAAAAGUUGAGGAUAUAGUCCCUUGAACAUCUCUUGCAUAUCCUUCCUCCGGAGGUAAGUGAAGUGGUGGGGCGA
Amphimedon queenslandica is the source of this 1403-nucleotide long non-coding RNA. RefSeq lists it as uncharacterized. The transcript has 3 exons. Lineage: Eukaryota; Metazoa; Porifera; Demospongiae; Haplosclerida; Niphatidae. The record is from RefSeq and is a predicted model, not a curated record.